GACGAACGCUGGCGGCGUGCUUAACACAUGCAAGUCGAACGGAAAGGCCUGCUUUCCCUUGUGGAUUGCGGGUACUCGGGUGGCGAACGGGUGAGUAACACGUGAGUGAUCUGCCCCCAACUUCUGUAUAAGCCUGGGAAACUGGGGCUAAUUCCCUAUAGGACUGCAGGGUGGUGCCUGUGGUUUAACACGUUUUUCUAGUGGUUGGGGAUGAGCUCGCGGCCUAUCAGCUUGUUGGUGGGGUAAUGGCAUACCAAGGGGGCGACGGGUAGCCGGCCUGAGAGCGUGGGCGGGCACAAGGGGACUGAGAGACGGACCAGAACUCUACGAGAGCCAGGAGUGGGGAGGAAUGCAGCAGGGGGGGAAGCCUGAUGCAGCGACGAAGCGUGACGGAGGAAGGCCUUGGGGAUGAAAAAUCCCUUAGGAUGGGAGGAAGCCACCUGCUUGGAAGGGUGGUGACGGUAGUGGUAGAAGAGGCACGGGCUAACUAGGU
Molecule: ribosomal RNA, 493 nt
Filed under: uncultured bacterium
Lineage: Bacteria
Description: partial 16S ribosomal RNA
Rfam family: Bacterial small subunit ribosomal RNA
Source: RNAcentral